AUGAGGCUUUGGCUCCAUGUAGUGUUCCUUGCAGUGGCUUUGGAAGGUGUCCGGUCCCAGGUGCUGGUGGAGUCCGGAGGGGAUGUGAAAAAGCCCGGAGACUCUCUCCGCCUCACCUGCAAAGCCUCCGGCUUCACCUUCAGCAGCUACACUAUGCACUGGGUCCGUCAGGCUCCAGGGAAGGGGCUGGAAUGGGUCUCACUCAUUUACACUGAUGGGAGCCAACAAUUUUACGCAGACUCAGUCAAAGGCCGAUUUACCAUCUCCAGGGACAAUUCCAACAACCUGCUGUAUUUGCAAAUGACCGGCCUGAAGCCCGAGGACACCGCCCGGUAUCACUGUGCGGGAGACACAGUGAGGGGAAGCCGGGCUGAGCUCAGACAAAAACCUGCCCUCGCUGGCUAAGGACAAACUCUCCACUGGGGGCGCUGGAGUUCUACAGCUCGCAGCGGAGAGACAGUGAGUGAGAAAACUCCUGUCCGCAGCUGCCUGUCUGUGACUCUCACACACACAGCUGCAGACACAGACUAACCGCACUGUUAGCAGAGACCAGCCUGCAACUUUCCCU
This is a non-coding RNA of Chrysemys picta bellii (western painted turtle), 568 nucleotides long. The record is from the annotation of a RefSeq genome assembly. Lineage: Eukaryota; Metazoa; Chordata; Testudines; Emydidae.